GCGGAAGGAUCAUUACCGAGUUUUCGAGCUCCGGCUCGACUCUCCCACCCUUUGUGAACGUACCUCUGUUGCUUUGGCGGCUCCGGCCGCCAAAGGACCUUCAAACUCCAGUCAGUAAACGCAGACGUCUGAUAAACAAGUUAAUAAACUAAAACUUUCAACAACGGAUCUCUUGGUUCUGGCAUCGAUGAAGAACGCAGCGAAAUGCGAUAAGUAAUGUGAAUUGCAGAAUUCAGUGAAUCAUCGAAUCUUUGAACGCACAUUGCGCCCCUUGGUAUUCCGGGGGGCAUGCCUGUUCGAGCGUCAUUACAACCCUCAAGCUCUGCUUGGAAUUGGGCACCGUCCUCACUGCGGACGCGCCUCAAAGACCUCGGCGGUGGCUGUUCAGCCCUCAAGCGUAGUAGAAUACACCUCGCUUUGGAGCGGUUGGCGUCGCCCGCCGGACGAACCUUCUGAACUUUUCUCAAGGUUGACCUCGGAUCAGGUAGGGAUACCCGCUGAACUUAAGCAUAUAA
RNAcentral lists this ribosomal RNA (515 nucleotides) under Lasiodiplodia egyptiacae. RNAcentral describes it as "eukaryotic LSU rRNA". The stretch from base 153 to 306 matches the Rfam family "5.8S ribosomal RNA". The record is from RNAcentral. Lineage: Eukaryota; Fungi; Ascomycota; Dothideomycetes; Botryosphaeriales; Botryosphaeriaceae.